GCCCAUGUGGCUCAAUGGUGAGAGUAAUGGCCUGCCCACCAAAGGGUUGUAGGUUCAAUUUCUGGUCAAGGGCA
Molecule: non-coding RNA, 74 nt
Organism: Myotis brandtii (Brandt's bat)
Lineage: Eukaryota; Metazoa; Chordata; Mammalia; Chiroptera; Vespertilionidae
Source: Rfam